AUUGAACGCUGGCGGCUUGCCUUACACAUGCAAGUCGAACGGCAGCAUGGAGAGCUUGCUCUCUGAUGGCGAGUGGCGAACGGGUGAGUAAAGCAUCGGAACGUACCGUUUAGUGGGGGACAACGUAGCGAAAGUUACGUUAAUACCGCAUACGCACUGAGGUGGAAAGCAGGGGAUCGUAAGACCUUGCGCCAUACGAGACGACGAUGUCAGAUUAGCUAGUUGGUAGGGUAAAGGCCUACCAAGGCGACGCUCUGUAGCGGGUCGGAGAGGAUGAUCCGCCACACUGGGACUGAGACACGGCCCAGACGCCUACGGGAGGCAGCAGUGGGGAAUUUUGGACAAUGGGGGCAACCCUGAUCCAGCCAUGCCGCGUGAGUGAAGAAGGCCUUCGGGUUGUAAAGCUCUUUCGGCCGGGAAGAAAUCGCACAGGCUAAUACCCUGUGUGGAUGACGGUACCGGCAUAAGAAGGACCGGCCAACUACGUGCCAGCCGCCGCGGUAA
RNAcentral lists this ribosomal RNA (504 nucleotides) under uncultured bacterium. RNAcentral's name for it is "partial 16S ribosomal RNA". It matches the Rfam family "Bacterial small subunit ribosomal RNA", at positions 30 to 523 of the family's 1533-position model. The record is from RNAcentral.